GGCAACGGCCCGUAGGGUGAGGAGCGAAGCGACGAAUAAUCCUUCCCCCACCACCA
Molecule: small RNA, 56 nt
Filed under: Salmonella enterica
Lineage: Bacteria; Pseudomonadati; Pseudomonadota; Gammaproteobacteria; Enterobacterales; Enterobacteriaceae
Also listed under: 1 other name
Description: partial RtT sRNA
Rfam family: RtT RNA
About the family: This family represents a bacterial cis-regulatory element known as RtT RNA.
Source: RNAcentral